Molecule: ribosomal RNA, 492 nt
Filed under: uncultured bacterium
Lineage: Bacteria
Description: bacterial SSU rRNA
Rfam family: Bacterial small subunit ribosomal RNA
Source: RNAcentral
GAUGAACGCUGGCGGCGUGCUUAAUACAUGCAAGUCGAGCGAGGACCACCCGGUGGCAACACCGGGUGACUCCUAGCGGCGAACGGGUGAGUAACACGUGGGCAACCUGCCCCCGACUCUGGGAUAAGCCCGGGAAACUGGGUCUAAUACCGGAUACGAGCCUCCACCGCAUGGCGGAGGUUGGAAAGGGUCUCCGGUCGGGGAUGGGCCCGCGGCCUAUCAGCUUGUUGGUGAGGUAAUGGCUCACCAAGGCGUCGACGGGUAGCCGGCCUGAGAGGGUGACCGGCCACACUGGGACUGAGACACGGCCCAGACUCCUACGGGAGGCAGCAGUGGGGAAUAUUGCACAAUGGGCGGAAGCCUGAUGCAGCAACGCCGCGUGGGGGAUGACGGCCUUCGGGUUGUAAACCUCUUUUAGCAGGGAAGAAGCGUGAGUGACGGUACCUGCAGAAAAAGCGCCGGCUAACUACGUGCCAGCAGCCGCCGUAAAAC